Caenorhabditis elegans is the source of this 94-nucleotide microRNA precursor. The record is from Ensembl. NCBI's taxonomy places the organism in Eukaryota, Metazoa, Nematoda, Chromadorea, Rhabditida, Rhabditidae.
UGUCUAAACUUGGGCAAAAGUUAGGCAAGACUUUGGCAAAGCUUGAAUCCAAGUUUUGCCAAAGUUUUGCCCAACUUUUGCCCAAAUUCAGCCA